RNAcentral lists this transfer RNA (67 nucleotides) under Alosa alosa (allis shad). RNAcentral's name for it is "tRNA-OTHER". The record is from RNAcentral. Lineage: Eukaryota; Metazoa; Chordata; Actinopteri; Clupeiformes; Clupeidae.
GCAGUCGUGGCCUACUGGUUAGGGCUUCAGGUUUGUGACCAGAGGGUUGCGGUUUGAACCCCGACCA